CUUCUUCUUUCUCCUCUUCACUUCUCAAAUUGUAUUACUUCACGCCAUCGACCGGCCACCGCCGGCCCGAUUUUCCGGUCCGUCGUCGGCGAGAAAACAUCAAGUUUUUCAACCUCAGGCAAGUGCUCCGUUUGCUCGAGACUUAGAGUCCGAUAAGAGGAGAGUGCCCACUGGACCAAAUCCUCUGCACAACAAGAAAAGAAAGGCUUGAAAUUACUAUUACUACUACUACUGGUUUAUCCGUUAGAGGUACAGUAAAUUAGUUUUCAUUCGUUAGUUUGUCUUUUAUUGUAGAGUUUUUCCUGUAUAAUUGGUGAUUCAACAUUUUAAUUCACCAAUUUCAAUUUUGUACAAAGCAUAGAAAGCUUAUUUAUACACAUGUAACUUGUUCUAGUUCCAUCACUUUUUUAGUUUUUAGCUUAUACUGAGCUGUGUGAUUAUGCUUAUGUAGAUUUUGCGAGACGGAGGAAUAAGUGAUGUUUGUUUGCAUUAAUAAAUUUAGUAUUGCA
RNAcentral lists this long non-coding RNA (509 nucleotides) under Nicotiana tabacum (common tobacco). RNAcentral describes it as "long non-coding RNA (NTAB_LNC001678)". Lineage: Eukaryota; Viridiplantae; Streptophyta; Magnoliopsida; Solanales; Solanaceae. The record is from RNAcentral.